GUGGGGGUGGUGGAGAAUGAGAAUUUGGAGAGGGUCGACAGGGAAGGGCUCGCCGAGGAAGAGGAGGAUGAGGUGGGGCCAAAGUAAGGAAAGAAAACCAGUUACGUGAAGGUCUGGGGAAGACCGCUCAAGUCUGAGGAAAAGCAAGUGUGCAGGUCCUGAGGGCGAGCUAGAGGAGGUGUGGUGGUAAACAAGGGCAGAAAGGUAGGCCAGGUGCCAACCCCAUGUGGCAUUGUGGGCCAACAAAAAGACUUUCAAUUUUUUACUUUAUUGAUUUUUUGGAGACAGAGUGGAAGUGGGGGCAAAGGGCAGCGGGGGAGAGAGAGAGAGAGAGACAGAGAUUGAGAAUCUUAAGCAGGCUCACUGCUCAGCAAGGAUCCUGAUGAGAGACUCGAUCCUACGACCCUGGGGUCAUGACAGCCAAAAUCAAGAGUCCGACAACUGACUCUUAGCCACCUAGAUGCCCCAAGAUCUUCAAUUUUAACAGGAGUUUAUAAUAGGAAGCUUUUAGUAGAUUUUCAUUGGGGUUAUGUGAUGUGAUUUACAUUUUUAAACACUUUGUUGUGGAAAUGUUCAAACGUACAAAGGUAGAAGGAAUAAUACAACAAACCCCAUAUACUUUUCCCCCAGGUCCAAUAAUUUUCCACUAUAAUUCCAUCCACUUCCCUACCACAUUAAUUUUAAGUAAAUCCAAUAUCCUAUCACCUAUAAAUACUUUUAGGAUGUAUCUUUAAACUCUUUAACAUGAUCCUAAUAUCAUUAUCACACUUGGAAAUAUUAGCACAAAUUUCUUGUCAUCAUUGCAAUUAAUUCAAAUGUUUCUUAAAAAACUAUCUACAGUAGGGGCACCUGGGUGGUUCAGUCAGUUAAGCAUCUGACUUCAACUCAGGUCACGAUAUCGCGGUUGAUGAGUUUGGGCACCACGUCGGGCUCUCCUGUUCCUCAUCGGACUCUUACCCAGUACAUGUAACAUUCAUUGAUGAUUCUUCUCUGAAUACAUUUUUACUCUGGUGAUUGCAAAACUUUUAAAGACACGGUACACAAUCCUUUUAUUUUGUUUUUGUAAAAUUCACUUCGUUGAGGUUACAUUUAAAAUUUGUAGCAAUCCCCAUGUGCUAGAAUCUUCUGAGGCCAAAGUUCAAACAACCUGAUGCAAUUUGAACUUUAAAGUUGAAGGUUCCUUGUGCAAUAUAAGCUAACAAAGAAUUGUAACUUUACAAACAUUUAUGAGUCAGGGUUGGUGAUCAAGCCCAGGUGGGGGACAGUGUGGUGCUCUGAGACAACAUGGGAGCACCACGCCCCUUCCCACAUACCUUGCUCCACACGUCUCUUCCAUCUGGCUGUCCCUGACUCUUAUCUUUUUAUAAUAAACCGGGGAUCUCUUCCAAUUGUGGAGUAGUAAACAUAUACGAUCAAGAUUCUUAUCCCCUAGAAGGAAACCCAAAGCUGAUAAAAGCUGUAAUGAUCUUGGUUUUGGGUGUUACUUCUCUGUCCUUCAGUCCUACUGCAGAAAUCUUAGCAAUUGCUUCAGAAAAAAAAAAGGAAGAAGCAGUCACACUGGGUCACUAUCCUUCCCAUCCUUCCCGUAUGGUAUUUUCUAAUUUCCCAGUUGUUUUUUA
Neofelis nebulosa (Clouded leopard) is the source of this 1619-nucleotide long non-coding RNA. RefSeq lists it as uncharacterized. Lineage: Eukaryota; Metazoa; Chordata; Mammalia; Carnivora; Felidae. The transcript has 2 exons. The record is from RefSeq and is a predicted model, not a curated record.